GGGGGAGUAUGAUCGCAAGAUUGAAACUUAAAGGAAUUGACGGAAGGGCACCACCAGGAGUGGAGCCUGCGGCUUAAUUUGACUCAACACGGGGAAACUCACCAGGUCCAGACAUGGGAAGGAUUGACAGAUUGACAGCUCUUUCUUGAUUCCAAGGGAGGUGGUGCAUGGCCGUCCAGCUUUUGUUGUGAAAUCUCUGUUUGAUUACGGUAAACGGCGAGACCUUGACUUGCUGAUUGGUGUGCGCCUGCUGUUUUGUAGGCGUUGGAGAUUACGCGCAAGCGUGUCUUUUGACACACCACUCAGAGGGACACUCGGCGUUGCUAUUGAGCGUAAGCCGAAGGAAGUUUGAGGCGAUAACAGGUCUGUGAUGCCCUUAGAUGUUCUGGGCUGCACGCGCGCUACACUGACGGGGGCAGCGAGUAUGCUUUGGGUGUUUGUGGUGGGGAAAGUCUUGUGCUUUCUGCAUUCACAAACAUCUAUUCCUGCGCUGGAAGGCGUGGGGACUCUUGUGAAAACCCGUCGUGCUGGGGAUAGAUGCUUGCAAUUAUUCAUCUUGAACGAGGAAUUCCUAGUAAGCGCAAUUCAACAGAUUGCGUUGAUUACGUCCCUGCCCUUUGUACACACCGCCCGUCGCUACUACCGAUUGAAUGGUUUAGUGAGGCCUCGGGAUUGGCGCGUGGGCGCUGGCAACAGCUGCCCAUGUGUUUCUUUGCUGAGAACCUGGUCAAACUUGAUCAUUUAGAGGAAGUAAAAGUCGUAACAAGGUUUCCGUAGGUGAACCUGCGGAAG
RNAcentral lists this non-coding RNA (792 nucleotides) under Salpingoeca rosetta. RNAcentral's name for it is "Salpingoeca sp. ATCC 50818 Eukaryotic small subunit ribosomal RNA". It matches the Rfam family "Eukaryotic small subunit ribosomal RNA", at positions 1117 to 1823 of the family's 1831-position model. The record is from Rfam by way of RNAcentral. Lineage: Eukaryota; Choanoflagellata; Craspedida; Salpingoecidae.